This 440-nucleotide ribosomal RNA is filed under the name uncultured bacterium. Its description in RNAcentral is "partial 16S ribosomal RNA". It matches the Rfam family "Bacterial small subunit ribosomal RNA", at positions 338 to 795 of the family's 1533-position model. The record is from RNAcentral.
CCUACGGGGGGCAGCAGUGGGGGAUAUUGCACAAUGGGGGGAACCCUGAUGCAGCAACGCCGCGUGGGUGAAGGAGUACUUCGGCGUGUAAAGCCCUGUCAGCAGGGAAGAAAAUGACGGUACCUGACCAAGAAGCCCCGGCUAACUACGUGCCAGCAGCCGCGGUAAUACGUAGGGGGCAAGCGUUAUCCGGAUUUACUGGGUGUAAAGGGGGCGUAGACGGCAAGGCAAGCCUGGAGUGAAAGCCCGUGGCCCAACCCCGGGACUGCUUUUGAAACUGCGUGGCUGGAGUGCAGGAGGGGCAGGCGGAAUUCCUAGUGUAGCGGUGAAAUGCGUAGAUAUUAGGAGGAACACCGGUGGCGAAGGCGGCCUGCUGGACUGUGACUGACGUUGAGGCUCGAAGGCGUGGGGAGCAAACAGGAUUAGAUACCCCAGUAGUC